CCACUACGUCUUGAAUCUCUUGGUCUAAAGUUUGCAUAACUACCACAUACUGUGUGUUAUAUCAGCCUCCCAGACCAUAACUAUCGCAGCCCGGGUGUUAUAUCAGCCUCCCUGACUAUAAGUACUGCAGACCGUAUGGUUGAUCGCACUUUGUACCAGGGUUCAAUUUUAACUUCCUGCUGUUCAGAUUUGCACUCUGCUUUCAACAUAUAGUUGGCCCUGUUAACAUAUCUGGUUUCUAUAUCACUCUGUCUACAUAAAAUGCAGGGAUUAGUCCUAUGUAUAGCACACAGGUUUAUAUGGAGGCGUCAAGGCAUUACCUACUUUCUGUUAGGAGGCUGGACGCUAAGAUUUACUUUGGAG
Non-coding RNA from Pelobates cultripes (western spadefoot toad), 363 nucleotides. The record is from the annotation of a GenBank genome assembly. NCBI's taxonomy places the organism in Eukaryota, Metazoa, Chordata, Amphibia, Anura, Pelobatidae.